GAUGAAGAACGUAGCGAAAUGCGAUACUUGGUGUGAAUUGCAGAAUCCCGUGAACCAUCGAGUCUUUGAACGCAAGUUGCGCCCGAAGCCAUUAGGCCGAGGGCACGCCUGCCUGGGUGUCACACGUCGUUGCCCCCCCAUCUACUCCUUCGGGAUUGCGGGGGGCGGAUGAUGGCCUCCCGUGCGCCUCGUCGCGCGGUUGGCAUAAAUGCCAAGUCCUCGGCGACGCACGCCACGACAAUCGGUGGUUGCGAAACCUCGGUUGCCCGUCGUGUGCGGUCGUCGCGCAUCGAGGGCUCGAAAAAAUUGCUGGGCUCCGGCUCGGCUUUCAACGCGACCCCAGGUCAGGCGGGGUUACCCGCUGAAUUUAAGCAUAUCAAUAAGCGGAGGA
RNAcentral lists this unclassified non-coding RNA (391 nucleotides) under soil metagenome. Its description in RNAcentral is "partial contains 5.8S ribosomal RNA, internal transcribed spacer 2, and large subunit ribosomal RNA". The stretch from base 1 to 122 matches the Rfam family "5.8S ribosomal RNA", at positions 35 to 154 of the family's 154-position model. The record is from RNAcentral.